Molecule: long non-coding RNA, 410 nt
Organism: Eurytemora carolleeae
Lineage: Eukaryota; Metazoa; Arthropoda; Copepoda; Calanoida; Temoridae
Exons: 2
Source: RefSeq, a predicted model, not a curated record
UCUGGUGAAUUAUAGCUGAAUUUGUGAUAAAGUUACGCAUCUAUUUUGUAUCAAAAAUAGCUGAUAAUUCUUUGUGAAAAUUUUCAGAUGUCGUCAAAUAUUUUUUCUGAGGUACUAUGGAAUGGAAUUUUAGGGGAUGAAGAAGAGAGGGGACCAGAAAUGUCCAAUAUUAUAAACGGUCCUUCAGUGCCAAUCAAAGCUCCAACAUGUAUAAUACAGAGCUGCAAUCCAAGAGUAGGAGGAUCACGGUUUAGAUUUCCAGCAAAUCCCAAAAGAAAAAAAUUGUGGCUGAAGGCCCUUCAUUUAAAUCAAGAGUAUAUCACAGUAAAAGAUCCAAGAGUAUGUGAAAAACAUUUCAAACCCUCUGAUUUUAAAAGUAAUUUAUAGUAUAAUAAAUAUUACGACGUUAA